This 254-nucleotide long non-coding RNA is filed under the name Carica papaya (papaya). Its description in RNAcentral is "long non-coding RNA (CPAP_LNC004611)". Lineage: Eukaryota; Viridiplantae; Streptophyta; Magnoliopsida; Brassicales; Caricaceae. The record is from RNAcentral.
UCUCAAUAAUACUUGUCACUUAUGUGGGAGUGUCCAACACUACGCGAAAGAGUGCCCAUAAAAUCAAAAUAAAGCUAGACUUCCUAUUCAGGGUAGAGAUUACAACCUCAAUCAGUAGGAUGCUGAAGCCAACCUAGAUGCUUUGAUUGAUACUAAUGCUUCACAUUCAUUUGUCUCACAUGCUUUUACACCAAACUUGAAUGUAUUACUUGAAAGACUUGAUUCUAUGUUAUUUGUGUCUACUCGUAGAAGUA